UGGCUGUAGCUAUAUCAAUUCCAUUGCAGAAGCUAACUGGCCCGUUGUUGUGAUAUCCUUUUGGGGUCUCUGUCAACAAAUCUGCUUACCGAGCUUCUCACAUUC
Glycine max (soybean) is the source of this 105-nucleotide non-coding RNA. The record is from Rfam. NCBI's taxonomy places the organism in Eukaryota, Viridiplantae, Streptophyta, Magnoliopsida, Fabales, Fabaceae.